UACGUAGGGAGCAAGCGUUGUCCGGAAUCAUUGGGCGUAAAGCGCGCGUAGGUGGCCUCGUAAGUCCGCUGUGAAAGUCCAAGGCUCAACCUUGGAAAGCCGGUGGAUACUGUGAGGCUAGAGUACGGAAGAGGCGAGUGGAAUUCCUGGUGUAGCGGUGAAAUUCGUAGAUAUUAGGAAGAACACCAGUGGCGAAGGCGGCUCACUGGUCCGGUACUGACGCUGAGGUGCGAAAGCGUGGGGAGCAAACAGG
RNAcentral lists this ribosomal RNA (253 nucleotides) under uncultured bacterium. Its description in RNAcentral is "partial 16S ribosomal RNA". It matches the Rfam family "Bacterial small subunit ribosomal RNA", at positions 524 to 776 of the family's 1533-position model. The record is from RNAcentral.